RNAcentral lists this ribosomal RNA (338 nucleotides) under uncultured soil bacterium. Its description in RNAcentral is "bacterial SSU rRNA". It matches the Rfam family "Bacterial small subunit ribosomal RNA", at positions 26 to 346 of the family's 1533-position model. The record is from RNAcentral.
AGAUUGAACGCUGGCGGAAUGCUUUACACAUGCAAGUCGAACGGCAGCACGGGACUCAGGCAACUGAGCCCUGGUGGCGAGUGGCGAACGGGUGAGUAACAUAUCGGAACGUACCCAGUCGUGGGGGAUAACUCUCCGAAAGGAGAGCUAAUACCGCAUACGUCCUGAGGGAGAAAGCGGAGGACCUAAGGGUAACUGAGGGCCUCGCGCGAUUGGAGCGGCCGAUAUCGGAUUAGCUAGUUGGUGGGGUAAAGGCUCACCAAGGCGACGAUCCGUAGCGGGUCUGAGAGGACGACCCGCCACACUGGAACUGAGACACGGUCCAGACUCCUACGGGA